Molecule: ribosomal RNA, 279 nt
Filed under: uncultured bacterium
Lineage: Bacteria
Description: partial 16S ribosomal RNA
Rfam family: Bacterial small subunit ribosomal RNA
Source: RNAcentral
UGCCAGCCGCCGCGGUAAUACGUAGGGAGCGAGCGUUAUCCGGAAUUAUUGGGCGUAAAGCGUGCGUAGGCGGUUCGUUAAGUCAAAUCUGAAAGCCCACAGCUUAACUGUGGAGGGUGAUUUGAAACUGGCGAGCUUGAGUACGGCAGAGGUUAGUGGAAUUCAAUGUGUAGCGGUGGAAUGCGUAGAUAUAUUGAGGAACACCAGUGGCGAAGGCGGCUAACUGGACCGGAACUGACGCUGAUGCACGAAAGCUAGGGUAUCAAACGGGAUUAGAUA